RNAcentral lists this ribosomal RNA (756 nucleotides) under uncultured fungus. RNAcentral describes it as "eukaryotic LSU rRNA". The stretch from base 159 to 756 matches the Rfam family "Eukaryotic large subunit ribosomal RNA", at positions 1 to 601 of the family's 3401-position model. The record is from RNAcentral. Lineage: Eukaryota; Fungi.
UUUUUUUUUCCAAAGAGAGGUUUCUCUGCGUGCUUGAGGUAUAAUGCAAGUACGGUCGUUUUAGGUUUUACCAACUGCGGCUAAUCUUUUUUAUACUGAGCGUAUUGGAACGUUAUCGAUAAGAAGAGAGCGUCUAGGCGAACAAUGUUCUUAAAGUUUGACCUCAAAUCAGGUAGGAGUACCCGCUGAACUUAAGCAUAUCAAUAAGCGGAGGAAAAGAAACCAACCGGGAUUGCCUUAGUAACGGCGAGUGAAGCGGCAAAAGCUCAAAUUUGAAAUCUGGUACCUUCGGUGCCCGAGUUGUAAUUUGGAGAGGGCAACUUUGGGGCCGUUCCUUGUCUAUGUUCCUUGGAACAGGACGUCAUAGAGGGUGAGAAUCCCGUGUGGCGAGGAGUGCGGUUCUUUGUAAAGUGCCUUCGAAGAGUCGAGUUGUUUGGGAAUGCAGCUCUAAGUGGGUGGUAAAUUCCAUCUAAAGCUAAAUAUUGGCGAGAGACCGAUAGCGAAUAAGUACAGUGAUGGAAAGAUGAAAAGAACUUUGAGAAGAGAGUGAAAAAGUACGUGAAAUUGUUGAAAGGGAAGGGCAUUUGAUCAGACAUGGUGUUUUGUGCCCUCUGCUCCUUGUGGGUAGGGGAAUCUCGCAUUUCACUGGGCCAGCAUCAGUUUUGGUGGCAGGAUAAAUCCAUAGGAAUGUAGCUUGCCUCGGUAAGUAUUAUAGCCCUGUGGGAAUACUGCCAGGCUGGGACUGAGGACCUGCGA